UGUGAACAUUGGCGUACAAGUAUCUGUUUGAGUAUUUGUUUUCAGUUUUUGGGUAUACACUGAGAAAUGAAAUUGCUGGAUCAUAUGAUAAUCUUAUGUUAAAAUCUUUGAGGAAUCACCAAGCUGUUUUUCAUAGCAGUUGCACAAGUUUAAAUUCCCACAAUAAAGAAAACAAGAAGAUGUUCUAUUCAUUAUUGAAAUUGAAGAUUUGAAGUUUCCAGCUAUUAUUAUGUCUAUUUCUCCUUUCAAUUAUAGUAAUAUUUGUUUCAUAUACUUUGGGACUCUUAUAUGUGGAAAAAGCAAGUCUUCGAUUGGGGUGCUGGAAGCUUUGAAAAAUUACUGUUAAAUUGAAGCAACUAAAACAUCUAGAGAUUGACAGAUCUUCCCACCAGAUCCUCACCUUGUUAAUGAAAGCACAGAAUCUGGAAAGUCUAAACAAGAUUAUUGGAAAAAUACAAUACACACAUAUCUAAUUUUGGAAAGUAAACUUUAUAACUCUUUUGUAGUCAGACAUUGUCAAUGUGUUUAUAGCCUCAGCAGCCUCAACAGCUACACUAAUUUUAAGUAUUAUUAAGUUUUACCCUGCAGAAAAGUCAAUUCAUUUUCAACAAUGUUUCAGUGAAAUUAAGUGGCAGAUUACUUUUUAAUUAAUCACAGUUUUUUGUUAAUGUUUCUGUUUUAUAAUGUUGAAUGCAUUUCUAAGGGAGCCACUGUGUCACACACACACACACACACACACACACACACACACAGAGAAUAAGAAAGAAAUAGAAUGGUUCCACUCUGAUAUUCUUGAGCUCUAGUUUCUUGCUGAGCUUGGAAGUAUUACUUUUCAACAUCUUAACGUUCUUUUGGCUUCUGCAAAGAUCUAUAUUCUUUAUUUGUUAAGUGCCUAAGAACAUUUGUUUAUUUAAAGGGAGUCUUAAAGGAUUAGAUAUGAAAUGUUUGCCUGGCUUAGAGAAACAUGGAUCUUUUCAAAUAAGUAGAUAUGCCACCAGCAAAAAACAUAUUGAAAAAUAAAAUGUUCACUGUGUCCAGUAUUUUUUUAGUAACUCUAUAUUUAUUUAUAGAAUUUGACUUUCUAAUCAUUGUCAGUGUACCUGUUUUAUGGCAAGCAAGGGCACCC
Molecule: long non-coding RNA, 1126 nt
Organism: Gorilla gorilla gorilla (western lowland gorilla)
Lineage: Eukaryota; Metazoa; Chordata; Mammalia; Primates; Hominidae
Exons: 3
Source: RefSeq, a predicted model, not a curated record